GCCAAGGUCAGCUGGCCGAUACGGAUGACGCCAGCUCACGAGAUGCACACGGAAGAGUGACUGCAGGGAAUAAACAGCGGUAACUAGAGUUUCCUGUGAUUUAAAAGGACUGCGAGGACAUUCAUCUGACAUCAAUGAAGACGGUGGCUUCUUGAGUUUCUGAAGGACUUACGUGAUGGCCGCUGGAAGCUCCACAGGCAGAGAGUGUGAUUAAAACUGACUGUGAACGUGAUCUGGCAGCCGAUAUGAAACACGUCAGCUCAGAGAAGAGGAAGGAGGGGGGAAAGGCUUCACACAAAAUGAAAGAUAGAAACAGAGAGGCUCUCUCCUCAGCCUUCACCUCGACAUUACCUUUUUGCAUUUCCACAGAAGCGUUGAAAGCCUAUGAAGUCAUCACGAGGCGCGGCUAUUAGUUGCUGUACUUGUCAACAGAAGGGAAGAUCAAUACAUCUCAUAUGAAUAAUGUAAACACUGAGGUCACUUCAAAUGUGUGUUAAUCAUUUUGGCAAGCGGAGGGAAAGCUCCUAUCUGCUAAAUGCGUUUGAGACGGACUCCAAAUCAAUGCCACGAUUACCAAAACACAAACAAGCAGCACUGCAGGAGAGCGCUGAUUAAACGCUUUUGACAUCGCAGUUAACGGUAGCUGAACCUUUCCAUCAGAGCUCACGUCUGGCAGCGGUUCAACACCGAGCAAAUCCAUCUGAUCUGAUUAACAUCUUCAAAUCUCAGCGCUGACUCAUCAGUGUUGCCUUUUAGCUUUUAGUGUUGGUGGGUCUGAUCCGUGUACAGAAGAAAGUCCGACAUUCAAAAGUCAUCAUUUGACAUCGUGUGUAAGUUAAAGGGGUCCUAUGAUGCUCAUUUUCAGUCAGGAGAAUAGGGAACUUCAGCGAUAGCAGACCAUUUACAUGCACAAAACCCCUCUACAAACACACUAUGGGAAAGGGUCAACAUUCUUAUCCUGAGCCAAAUCAUGUUUGUUUAUACAUUUGACGAUUUAGACGCUUGUUUCUGAUCCGUGUACAGAAGAAAGUUCGACAAUCAAAAGUCAAUUUGGACAACAAACGCUCAUUUUCAAUAUUUUUCUGUGUGUAUUUUAGCCUCUGCAGACCAUUUGCAUGCACACAAACCUAUAGAACACACUACAGGAGAGGGAAAACCCUUCUUAGCCGAAUCAUGAUUUUGUAUAUACCGUAAAGCAGUUUUGUCUUGUUAGUUGUUACACAUCAAACUACCGCCGUAAUCCGGGAGAAAUUCCCUCAAAACUUAAUUGAGAGCAGUUUAGUUUUAUAGGAUGGGGAGGUGGAUCCCGCUGAGCCAUGAUUCUUAUAAACGGUGAAAAUGUAGUCCUGGUUUUGUCCUGAAAUACUCAAUUACUGCACCGAGGCGAGUAUCAUGUGAAUCUCCAGAGAAACUCUCAUCUUCAACCUGUUCAGCCCUGAGCCUGUUUUUCAGGUCUCAGGCUCGAAAAUGACAUUCCCAGAACAAAUGACCAUAUCUUCUAAAAGGGGGACAUUAAUAAUCUUUGUUCUCAAAGUAAUGAUAAACCUGUGAGUUG
Molecule: long non-coding RNA, 1555 nt
Organism: Gymnodraco acuticeps
Lineage: Eukaryota; Metazoa; Chordata; Actinopteri; Perciformes; Bathydraconidae
Exons: 3
Source: RefSeq, a predicted model, not a curated record